Molecule: ribosomal RNA, 478 nt
Filed under: Nocardia salmonicida
Lineage: Bacteria; Bacillati; Actinomycetota; Actinomycetes; Mycobacteriales; Nocardiaceae
Description: bacterial SSU rRNA
Rfam family: Bacterial small subunit ribosomal RNA
Source: RNAcentral
GAGUUUGAUCCUGGCUCAGGACGAACGCUAGCGGCGUGCUUAACACAUGCAAGUCGAGCGGUAAGGCCCUUCGGGGUACACGAGCGGCGAACGGGUGAGUAACACGUGGGUGAUCUGCCUUGCACUUCGGGAUAAGCCUGGGAAACUGGGUCUAAUACCGGAUAUGACCACUGAUCGCAUGGUUAGUGGUGGAAAGAUUUAUCGGUGCGAGAUGGGCCCGCGGCCUAUCAGCUUGUUGGUGAGGUAACGGCUCACCAAGGCGACGACGGGUAGCCGACCUGAGAGGGUGACCGGCCACACUGGGACUGAGACACGGCCCAGACUCCUACGGGAGGCAGCAGUGGGGAAUAUUGCACAAUGGGCGAAAGCCUGAUGCAGCGACGCCGCGUGCGGGAUGACGGCCUUCGGGUUGUAAACCGCUUUUGACAGGGACGAAGCGCAAGUGACUGUACCUGUAGAAUAAGGACCGGCCAACUAC